RNAcentral lists this ribosomal RNA (301 nucleotides) under uncultured bacterium. RNAcentral describes it as "partial 16S ribosomal RNA". It matches the Rfam family "Bacterial small subunit ribosomal RNA", at positions 509 to 807 of the family's 1533-position model. The record is from RNAcentral.
CAGCAGCCACGGUAAAACGAAGGGGGCUAGCGUUGUUCGGAUUUACUGGGCGUAAAGCGCACGUAGGCGGACUUUUAAGUCAGGGGUGAAAUCCCGGGGCUCAACCCCGGAACUGCCUUUGAUACUGGAAGUCUUGAGUAUGGUAGAGGUGAGUGGAAUUCCGAGUGUAGAGGUGAAAUUCGUAGAUAUUCGGAGGAACACCAGUGGCGAAGGCGGCUCACUGGACCAUUACUGACGCUGAGGUGCGAAAGCGUGGGGAGCAAACAGGAUUAGAUACCCCCGUAGUCCCUGUCUCUUAUAC